AUGCCGAGCUGGGUCAGGAACUGCGCAAGGAGGAGGAGACACUGCUCCUGUUGAAGGCAGCCCUCGCAUGACCUGCUGAAUCACAUCAAGGUUGAAGCAUUGGCCCUCCAAUCAAUGAUUAGUUCUGGGAGAGGGGAUGAGGUGCUGUCUUCUCCAACUUCUCCAACUGUGCCUGAACAGUCACACGUCAUGUCAGUGCAUAUAGAGAAUGAAGCAUCAGUCAACCAAACUACGCUGGAGUGGAGCAUAGAGUCCUGUGACAGAAGAGGAGGAGGAAGAGAAAGAAGAAUCAGAUCCCUAA
Molecule: long non-coding RNA, 301 nt
Filed under: Homo sapiens (human)
Lineage: Eukaryota; Metazoa; Chordata; Mammalia; Primates; Hominidae
Description: non-protein coding LY86-AS1:14
Source: RNAcentral